CUGUGACCUGUAGAUGGGCCUGCGGCGCAUUAGCUAGUUGGUGAGGUAACGGCUCACCAAGGCGACGAUGCGUAGCCGACCUGAGAGGGUGAUCGGCCACACUGGGACUGAGACACGGCCCAGACUCCUACGGGAGGCAGCAGUAGGGAAUCUUCCGCAAUGGACGCAAGUCUGACGGAGCAACGCCGCGUGAGUGAUGAAGGUUUUCGGAUCGUAAAGCUCUGUUGCCAGGGAAGAAAAGUGCUGAGAGUAACUGCUCAGCAUGUGACGGUACCUGAGAAGAAAGCCCCGGCUAACUACGUGCCAGCAGCCGCGGUAAUACGUAGGGGGCAAGCGUUGUCCGGAAUUAUUGGGCGUAAAGCGCGCGCAGGCGGUUGUUUAAGUUUGGUGUCUAAUCCCGGGGCUCAACCCCGGGUCGCACUGAAAACUGGACGACUUGAGUGCGGGAGAGGAAAGUGGAAUUCCACGUGUAGCGGUGAAAUGCGUAGAGAUGUGGAGGAACACCAGUGGCGAAGGCGACUUUCUGGACCGUAACUGACGCUGAGGCGCGAAAGC
Molecule: ribosomal RNA, 555 nt
Filed under: Paenibacillus sp. JH512a
Lineage: Bacteria; Bacillati; Bacillota; Bacilli; Caryophanales; Paenibacillaceae
Description: bacterial SSU rRNA
Rfam family: Bacterial small subunit ribosomal RNA
Source: RNAcentral